GCUUGACGAUCGGGCCUGGAGAGC
This 24-nucleotide microRNA is filed under the name Lotus japonicus. RNAcentral's name for it is "lja-miR11171-5p". The record is from miRBase by way of RNAcentral. Lineage: Eukaryota; Viridiplantae; Streptophyta; Magnoliopsida; Fabales; Fabaceae.